CUCACUUCCAACCAGCCCCGACUCCCUGGACCCCGUUUCCAUCUAUUUAGAUUUAACGAAUAAAAAGGAUACGCACGGAGGAGGGAAACAGAGGCAAGUGGUAGAUGACGAGCACAAAAGAAAUGGCGCAGUGCUAUGUGCGCAGAGGCCGAAGGAGGGGCAGCAGCUAAUGAAGGCUCCGCACAAGCCAGGAGAGAAGGAAGAAAAGAAUGACGGGUCAGGCGCGGUGCGAAGGGCUCUCCAAAGAGGAGCUCGUUUGAUCCUUACAGCAGCCCUGCAAGAGAAAGGUUAGGAAAGGGUGGUCAUGCCUGAAGGCUGAGAAGAUUCCGAGGCCCUCCUCUGGUUUCCUACCCACGUCUCUGAGGCAGGGCAAGCUGGCGGAGGAGCACAGAAGUAAUAAAUGCUGUGAGCCAGAACACACAUGUGCAUGAAUGAAUCCAGCACGCUGGGCCGACAGGGUCUUCUGGGUAUGUCAACCUGAUUAUCGGGCCUGUGCCCCGGAAGUCCCUUGGAGUGUUUUAUUCCUUCCCGAUCUGUCGCCUUGGUCCUUCUCACGGCUGUCCCUCACUAGAAGCCCCCCCUGUGGUCCUGAGCGCUUUCUCAUAGAAAGAGGAGAGUGGGCAGCUUUAAAUACAGAGCCCAGAGGGGCAGCAUCAGCUCUUUUAGUGAGAAGGGCAGGUCCUCACGCCCAGGCACUCGAUUAAGGAAAAAACAGUUUUCUUUCUACAAGCAGAGAUCUGUCUGCUCCCAGAAUCUGACCCCUGGAGGCUGCCUCUUCGGGGACACAGACUUGCCAGCCAGCUCAUUAGACAGAGAGAGUUGAAUCUCUCUUUUUAAACUCGCUUUCUCCAGCUAGCAGGAUCCAGGACUCAGCCCCAAAGCUCCAACUUAGUAUGGGAAGGGUCCCAAGAACUCCAGUCAUUAUCUGGUGGUCAACCUACUUUCCCACCCAAACCAUUUCAGAAUCUGGUGGGGCUGACCUGUGUUCUACCAAAUGGAAAGGCCUUUCUGGGUGUCCGAGCUCCUGGAGAGCAGGCAUGAUCUUUUCCCUCUCUUUUGCCCUUUGGUGAAGCUCAGAUCACCUAGAAUGGAGGGCAUCCAUGUGGGAGACACCUAGGACCUGCGCCCGGGAGAAGACAUUCUGUGUUUGCCUCCUAUUCGGAAGAGAACAGCCUUUUCCAUCAGGGGCAAAGCCAGAACAGGCUGAGUUUUUAAGACUAUCGCCAUAGGACACCAUUUUGUUUUCUGGAAGUGUUCAGUGGAGGAGGAGGCGUGAAGUUCUGGUUUACCCACAGCACAGACUGUCUUCACUGAGCUGUGGUGGGAGAGGGCUACCUUUCUCUUCCUUGACUUUGGGGUCUAUGGCCCAAGAAAGGGCCUUGGGGUUUGGGUCACUUUCAUUUAUCCUUUUAAGGUGCAAGUGGUGGAGUCUCCAGCCCUGGGAACCUGAGCCAUAGAGACCACGGAGGCAGGAUUCCUGGCUGGAUGUUGUAGCCCACCAGGCAGAGAAGUCCUAGAUACUAUGGUGCCAAGACAUAAACCCAAGGGGCUUUGGACCUGCAAGUUGGUGGGACCAUGGCUAUAGAGGAACUGAAUUAAGUUGUGAACUUAUCCCCAUCCCCUCCCCAGACUGAAACGGAAUGGGGCCAUGUUGGCAAACCUAUGGCACAUGUACCAGAGGGGGCUCUCCCAGAAUAUUUGUCCCAUCACCUGCCCCUCUGCCCAGCAGCCCAGUGGGAGUGCUUUCUCCCUCCCCUGUCUGGGGUAAAGCGGGGAGGAGGGGGCUCAUAUGAGGCAUGAGGGUUGCACUUUGGACACUUGGUCUCUAAAGGGUUUGCCAUCACUGAUACAGGGCGUAGGAUUAUGUGCUGGGGAAAAUAUUUGUUCCUAUUAUACCUUUGAAAUAAACGCUCCUUUGUAAAAACUAA
Molecule: long non-coding RNA, 1928 nt
Organism: Gracilinanus agilis (Agile Gracile Mouse Opossum)
Lineage: Eukaryota; Metazoa; Chordata; Mammalia; Didelphimorphia; Didelphidae
Exons: 3
Source: RefSeq, a predicted model, not a curated record